GCUCAGGACGAACGCUGGCGGCGUGCUUAACACAUGCAAGUCGAACGAUGAUGCCCAGCUUGCUGGGCGGAUUAGUGGCGAACGGGUGAGUAACACGUGGGUGAUCUGCCCUGCACUUCGGGAUAAGCCUGGGAAACUGGGUCUAAUACCGGAUAUGACCAUGGGAUGCAUGUCCUGUGGUGGAAAGGUUUACUGGUGCAGGAUGAGCCCGCGGCCUAUCAGCUUGUUGGUGGGGUAAUGGCCUACCAAGGCGACGACGGGUAGCCGGCCUGAGAGGGCGACCGGCCACACUGGGACUGAGACACGGCCCAGACUCCUACGGGAGGCAGCAGUGGGGAAUAUUGCACAAUGGGCGAAAGCCUGAUGCAGCGACGCCGCGUGAGGGAUGACGGCCUUCGGGUUGUAAACCUCUUUCAGCAGGGACGAAGCGCAAGUGACUGUACCUGCAGAAGAAGCACCGGCUAACUACGUGCCAGCAGCCGCGGUAAUACGUAGGGUGCGAGCGUUGUCCGGAAUUACUGGGCGUAAAGAGUUCGUAGGCGGUUUGUCGCGUCGUGUGUGAAAUCCCGCAGCUCAACUGCGGGCUUGCAGGCGAUACGGGCAGACUUGAGUACUGCAGGGGAGACUGGAAUUCCUGGUGUAGCGGUGAAAUGCGCAGAUAUCAGGAGGAACACCGGUGGCGAAGGCGGGUCUCUGGGCAGUAACUGACGCUGAGGAACGAAAGCGUGGGUAGCGAACAGGAUUAGAUACCCUGGUAGUCCACGCCGUAAACGGUGGGCGCUAGGUGUGGGUUUCCUUCCACGGGAUCCGUGCCGUAGCUAACGCAUAAGCGCCCCGCC
This 839-nucleotide ribosomal RNA is filed under the name Rhodococcus coprophilus. Its description in RNAcentral is "bacterial SSU rRNA". It matches the Rfam family "Bacterial small subunit ribosomal RNA", at positions 22 to 873 of the family's 1533-position model. Lineage: Bacteria; Bacillati; Actinomycetota; Actinomycetes; Mycobacteriales; Nocardiaceae. The record is from RNAcentral.